AACUGCAGUGCCACCUUUUGGAUGUAACACUGGUACCACAAAACCAGACUUAAAGGCGGCAAAAUCCACUCUGACCAAAGGUUCAGAGUGGAGUUCAGGGAGGGAAACAGUGGGUCCCUUUUCACCCUUAACUCCGUUUUCCAGCAUUUGGACAUGCAGCUAUGGAAAUCAGAGAUAAAAGGACCUCCAGUUUCUUAUUACAUCUAAAUAUGGCCACAACACCACCAAAACAAUCCCUUUUUCUCCAGCGAUCAGUGCAGAGGAGUGAGCCCCAAGGCUGAGAGAUGGGAUGCAUUACAGGAUGUAGAAAGCGGAGAAAAGAGUUCCCUAGCUGCAGAUCCGGAAAAGACAAUGGCAAGUUGGGUUUUGCCCACUACUGGUUCCUGAUGGGCUGCAUAUUCCUAUCAGCACAGUCUUCUCUUGCUUUAAAAGGGGACAAAGGACACACCACAAGAGGCCUCAUGGGAGAAAGUUGCCAUGAACAUUCAACUUGGAAAAAUGGCUGCCAGCCAAAGGUAAACCGCAACUAUUAUGUGUUUCGUAGAUUGAAUAAAAUCACUAUUGUGGAUCCAAGCAGAGACGGAGCUGUAAUUGUACACAGGGUUCAACGUGUUGGGAUUUGCUACAAACAUUGUCUCAGUCCUUUAUACAGGGCAUGCUUCUCUGUUUGAAUGUCUCUGUGUACUGGCUCGAGGGUGGAGUCAAAGUUUGUUUGUCUGCUCAUUUGUUGCCUUGAAUUCAAACUGAGAGGUUUUCCCUCCUUCUGCAGAAGAGACUGCUAGUCUGUUUAUUGUUCUCUUAGCCUAUGUUUAGUUAGUAAUAAAUAUCAAACUCCUGUUUCUCAGUUAAA
Hemicordylus capensis (graceful crag lizard) is the source of this 850-nucleotide long non-coding RNA. RefSeq lists it as uncharacterized. Lineage: Eukaryota; Metazoa; Chordata; Lepidosauria; Squamata; Cordylidae. The record is from RefSeq and is a predicted model, not a curated record. The transcript is spliced from 5 exons.